GAUCAUGGUUCAGGAUGAACGCUGGCGGCGUGCCUAACACAUGCAAGUCGAACGGAGUCGUUUUGGAAAUCUCUUCGGAGAUGGAAUUCUCGACUUAGUGGCGGACGGGUGAGUAACGCGUGAGCAAUCUGCCUUUAAGAGGGGGAUAACAGUCGGAAACGGCUGCUAAUACCGCAUAAAGCAUCAAAUUCGCAUGUUUUUGAUGCCAAAGGAGCAAUCCGCUUUUAGACGAGCUCGCG
Molecule: ribosomal RNA, 239 nt
Filed under: uncultured bacterium
Lineage: Bacteria
Description: partial 16S ribosomal RNA
Rfam family: Bacterial small subunit ribosomal RNA
Source: RNAcentral